GCCGUAGUCGAGGCCCGGCCGCUCGUUGAUUCACCCGCAACGCUGCCUGAAUACGCCUCGCUGCCCACAGAAAUUCCUGCCCAAACCAGACGCGUGGACCACCCAAGACGAAAUUCACACUCGACCCUAGCCCCGCCAGCCCUUGCCGAAAUCACCCUAAACCCGUUGAAAUUAAUUCCCAGCUGUCCGAAUUUUCCUUCCAACAUUAACUGACUACCUGUCUCCGCCAAGCUGACUGAACUCUACCGAACUCUUACCCUGAAAGCCCCUGAGAGUCCAAAAUAUAUUUUUCCAGCCCGAAAUCUAAAUCCCAGUUCUCUGUAUGAAAACCUCCAGAAACCCAGACUCUUACUUCCUUCGGCCACGGACUCGUUCGAACAUCGUGGACAUCACCUUCCCACAUUUUUACCGCAGUCUUUGGCUCCGAUUCUUUGUCCCUGCCUCUUGGGCAGCAUCCUAUCCCUGUUUCUUUCCACCUUUGAGGAUUCCUCUACCUCUUUAAAGGCCUGCUUUCUUUGCUUUCUCUUCUCACCUUUGGCAUUGGCACACUGGGGUCAUAUCUUUAGUUCCCUUGACUCCACCAUCUAAGCCAAGGGUGUCCAAUCUUUUGGCUUCCCUGGGCUACAUUGGAAGGAGAAAAAUUGUCUUGGACCACAUAUAAAAUAUUCUAACGCUAAUGGUAGCUGAUGAAACUUUUAAAAAAUCUCAUCAUGUUUUAAGAAGUUUACGAAUUUGUGCUGAGCCGCAUUCAAAGCCGUCCUGGGCCUAAGUCCUUGCUAUUUUUCCUCUUCAAUUUCCUUCAAUCCAUAGUUCUCUAGGUUAUUUUCCCACCCUUUCCCAAGAUUCGGAUAUCCCUUCAUUCUUGCUGAGUUCAUCUCCUAUGCCUAUUCCUACAUACUUGCUGAGUUCAUCUUCUAAUGUCCUCAUCCUGGUUUCUUCCUGAACCUGAAAUCCAGCUAACCUUACUUUUUCAUCCCAUCAAACCCCUGCUGUUGCCAGCCCAGCACUCACGAAGAUCUUUACAUACACCAAAUAUUAAAUUAGGGCCGGUACCUAGACAUUGUCUCUGCACUCUGCUGGCAUAUUUUCCCCUGGACCACGAACCCUUCGUACCUAGUAACUUGCCACCUGUGUUUAUAAAUACCAGCAAUUUGAUUUACAGGGUGAAUUUGUCACUAUUGUUUACUUUUAAAUGAAGUUACUGUAUUUGUUGUUUCCAUUAAAGGCGACAUUAUAAAGCCUAGGCCUCAUAUCCAAAGCAAAUAAAGUCUCAAUUUUUUAAUUAAAAGUAACAAAAGGAAACCUCACACUUCUGAACAACAAUGACAAGAAGGAAUGCCUAUAAUUGGUUUGGGUCACAAUGUACAUAUUGAAAUAAAAUUUUUAUUAAGUAUCAACUUCCAGGUACACAAUGAAGUUUUAAAUGUUUAUCUGUGACAUAUGAAGAACAAAGCAAUCUAAACUGAUGUAAGCAGGCUGUCAUA
Molecule: long non-coding RNA, 1484 nt
Filed under: Homo sapiens (human)
Lineage: Eukaryota; Metazoa; Chordata; Mammalia; Primates; Hominidae
Description: HSALNT0007119
Source: RNAcentral